GACGAACGCUGGCGGCGUGCUUAACACAUGCAAGUCGAACGAAGUGGCGAACGGGUGAGUAAUACGUGGGUAACCUGCCCUCCUUUUUGGGAUAAGCCUUGGAAACGGGGUCUAAUACCGAAUAAAGGGGGAUGGUCUCGCGGCCUAUCAGCUUGUUGGUGGGGUGAUGGCCUACCCAGGCGGUGACGGGUAGCCGGCCUGAGAGGGUGAACGGCAACAGUGGGACGGAGAUGAGGCCCAGACUACGACGGGAGGGAGCAGUUGGGGAUAUUGCACAAGGGGUGAAAGAGUGAUGCAGCGACGGCGCGUGGGGGAUGCGGGCUUUGGGGUUGUAAACGUCUUUAGGAAUCGAACGGUUAGGUGCAGAAGAAGCGCCGGCUAACUACGUGCCAGCAGCCGCGGUAAUAC
RNAcentral lists this ribosomal RNA (408 nucleotides) under uncultured bacterium. Its description in RNAcentral is "partial 16S ribosomal RNA". It matches the Rfam family "Bacterial small subunit ribosomal RNA", at positions 28 to 526 of the family's 1533-position model. The record is from RNAcentral.